Molecule: long non-coding RNA, 2278 nt
Organism: Gallus gallus (chicken)
Lineage: Eukaryota; Metazoa; Chordata; Aves; Galliformes; Phasianidae
Source: Ensembl
CAUAACCCCAUAACCCCCCAUAACCCCAUAACCCCCCAAUAACCCCAUAACCCCUCCCAUAACCCCAUAACACCCCAUAACCCCCCAUAACCCCCUCAUAACCCCCUCAUAACCCCCCCAUAACCCCAUAAUGUCCCAUAACCCCAUAAUACCUCAUAACCCCAUAACCCCCCAUAAUACCCCAUAACGCCCCAUAACCCCACAGCGCCCCACAGCGCCCCGCAGCGCCCCGGCUGACCUUCGAGGUGCCGCAGAACGGCGCUCAGCCGAUGGGCGCACGGAGCGAAAAUCCCCACCGUGAGCGGAGCGGCGGCCGCGCAAACGGUGCGCGCCAAACAGUGCGCGUACAGCCGGUCCGGGGCUGCAAUUAACGGCAAUUAACAGUAAUUAACGGUAAUUAACGGCAUGUGAGCCAAACAGUGCGCGUACAGACGGUCCGGGGCUGCAAUUAACGGUAAUUAACAGUAAUUAAUUAACGGAUUAACGGCGUGUGAGCCAAACAGUGCGCGUAGAGACGGUCCGGGGCUGCAAUUAAUUAACGGUAAUUAAUUAACAGUAAUUAAUGGGGUAUUGGGCUGUGAGCCAAACAGUGCGCGUAGAGACGGUCCGGGGCUGCAAUUAACGGUAAUUAACGGUAAUUAACGGUAAUUAAUGGGGUAUUGGGCUGUGAGCCAAACAGUGCGCGUAGAGACGGUCCGGGGCUGCAAUUAAUUAACGGUAAUUAGCGGUAAUUAGCGGUAAUUAAUGGGGUGUGAGCCAAACAGUGCGCGUACAGACGGUCCGGGGCUGCAAUUAACGGUAAUUAACGGUAAUUAAUUAAUGGGGUAUUGGGCUGUGAGCCAAACAGUGCGCGUAGAGACGGUCCGGGGCUGCAAUUAGCGGUAAUUAACGGUAAUUAAUUAAUGGGGUAUUGGGCUGUGAGCCAAACAGUGCGCGUACAGCCGGACCGGGGCUGCAAUUAACGGUAAUUAACGGUAAUUAACAGUAAUUAACGGCAUGUGAGCCAAACAGUGCGCGUACAGCCGGUCCGGGGCUGCAAUUAACGGCAAUUAACGGUAAUUAGCGGUAAUUAAUGGGGUGUGAUCCAAACAGUGCGCGUACAGCCGGUCCGGGGCUGCAAUUAACGGCAAUUAACAGUAAUUAAUUAAUGGGGUAUUGGGCUGUGAGCCAAACAGUGCGCGUACAGCCGGUCCGGGGCUGCAAUUAACGGCAAUUAACGGUAAUUAAUUAACAGUAAUUAAUGGGGUGUGAGCCAAACAGUGCGCGUACAGACGGUCCGGGGCUGCAAUUAACGGCAAUUAACGGUAAUUAAUUAACAGUAAUUAACGGCAUCUGAGCCAAACAGUGCGCGUAGAGACGGUACGGGGCUGCAGUUAACGGCAAUUAACAGUAAUUAAUUAAUGGGGUAUUGGGCUGUGAACCAAACAGUGCGCGUAGAGACGGUCCCGGGCUGUUAAUUAACAGUAAUUAGCAGUAAUUAGCGGUAAUUAACGGCAUGUGAGCCAAACAGUGCGCGUAGAGACGGUCCGGGGCUGCAAUUAGCGGUAAUUAACAAUAAUGAAUGGGGUGUGAGCCAAACAGCGCGCGUACAGCUGGUCCGGGGCUGCCAAUUAAUGGGUAUUAAUGAGUUAUUAAUGGGUUAUUAAUGCGAUAUUAAUGGGGCUAUGGGAUUAUUGGGGCCAUCGAUGGGGUUACGGGGUCAUUAUGGGGUCAUUGUGGGGUCAUUGUGGGGUCAUUGGGAUUUGGGUUCGGGUUGGGGUCAGGUUGAGGUUUAGGGCCACGAUUAGGAUCACUUUUAGGGUCGGGUUUAGGAUUAGGAUCAGGAACAGGUUUAGGAUUAGGAUCAGGUUUAGGGUCGGGUUUAAGAUCAGGUUUAGGGUCAGGUUUAGGAUCACGUUUAGGGUUGGGUUUGGGGUCGGGUUUAAGGUCACAUUUAGGGUCACAUUUAGGGUCGGCUUUGGGGUUGGGUUUAGGAUCACAUUUAGGGUCGGGUUUAGGGUCACAUCUAGGGUCACAUUUAGGGUCGGGUUUGGGGUCGGGUUUAGGAUCACAUUUAGGAUCACAUUUAGGGUCGGGUUUGGGGUCGGGUUUGGGGUCGGGGGGGGCCGUACCUUCGUGCUCCUCCCACUCCCACUCCCACUCGGAGCCGUCGCUGUCCCCAUCGCUGUGGGGCGGCCCCACAUCCAGCAGUGCUCCGCGCUCCUCCACGGAGCCCGAAGGGCGGCGCUGUGGGGCGGAAUGGGGGAUGCGGGUUAUGGGGUGGGCUAUGGGGUACGGG